AGAGUUUGAUCAUGGCUCAGAACGAACGCUGGCGGCAGGCUUAACACAUGCAAGUCGAACGCGUGUAGCAAUACACGAGUGGCGCACGGGUGAGUAACGCGUGGAUAUCUGCCUUUUGGUUCGGAAUAACCCCGGGAAACUGGGGCUAAUACCGGAUGGUUCCUUCGGGAUAAAGAUUUAUCGCCAAAAGAUGAGUCCGCGUACGAUUAGCUAGUUGGUGAGGUAAUGGCUCACCAAGGCGACGAUCGUUAGCUGGUCUGAGAGGACGAUCAGCCACACUGGGACUGAGACACGGCCCAGACUCCUACGGGAGGCAGCAGUGGGGAAUAUUGGACAAUGGGGGCAACCCUGAUCCAGCCAUGCCGCGUGAGUGAUGAAGGCCUUCGGGUUGUAAAGCUCUUUUGGCGGGGACGAUGAUGACGGUACCCGCAGAAUAAGCCCCGGCUAACUUCGUGCCAGCAGCCGCGGUAAGACGAAGGGGGCUAGCGUUGUUCGGAAUUACUGGGCGUAAAGCGCGUGUAGGCGGUUAUCCAAGUCGGGUGUGAAAGCCUUGAGCUUAACUCAAGAAAUGCACUCGGUACUGGGUGACUAGAGGACCGGAGAGGAUAGUGGAAUUCCCAGUGUAGUGGUGAAAUACGUAGAGAUUGGGAAGAACACCAGUGGCGAAGGCGGCUAUCUGGACGGUUUCUGACGCUAAGACGCGAAAGCGUGGGGAGCAAACAGGAUUAGAUACCCUAGUAGUCC
This 744-nucleotide ribosomal RNA is filed under the name uncultured bacterium. Its description in RNAcentral is "bacterial SSU rRNA". It matches the Rfam family "Bacterial small subunit ribosomal RNA", at positions 8 to 796 of the family's 1533-position model. The record is from RNAcentral.